This 1741-nucleotide long non-coding RNA is filed under the name Homo sapiens (human). RNAcentral's name for it is "non-protein coding lnc-PPM1K-1:1". The record is from RNAcentral. Lineage: Eukaryota; Metazoa; Chordata; Mammalia; Primates; Hominidae.
AAGUACUUUAUAGAUUCAGAAGUAAAUGCUGUCCUGUUCUCCAUCAGCUGUUCGUUUGUUACAGAUUUUGUAUUUCUUUUUUUUUUUUUUUGAGAUGGAGUCUCACUCUGUCACACAGGCUGGAGUACAGUGGUGCGGUCUCGGCUCCCUGCAACCUCUGCCUCCCGGGUUCAAACGAUUCUUCUGCCUCAGCCUCCUGAGUAGCUGGGACUACAGGCGCGUGCCACCACCCCUGGCUAAUUUUUGUAUUUUUUUUUCUUUUUUUUUUUUGAGAAGGAGUCUCUCUCUGUCACCCAGGCUGGAGUGCAGUGGCACGAUCUCGGCUCACUGCAAGCUGCGCCUCCUGGGUUCACGCCAUUCUCCUGCCUCAGCCUCCCGAGUAGCUGGAAUUACAGGCGUCCGCCACCGUGCCCGGCUAAUUUUUUUGUAUUUUUAGUAGAGAUGGGGUUUUGCCAUAUUGGCCAGGCUGGUCUCGAACUCCUGACCUCAAGUGAUCCACCCACCUCGGCCUCCCAAAGUGCUGGGAUUACAGGCAUGAGCCACCGCACCUGGCCAGAUCUUUGUAUGUCUUAAGUGUUUCAAAGUUAUAAGCAUUUUUCUGGGGGGAUGUCCAUUUUGGAGGGAUCCAUUUUGAUCCUUUGUACUCUAUAAUGUGAACUUUCCCCUGUUCCAACACUUAAAAGAGAAUUAUUAGCACAUAAUCUAAAAGAUGGAAUUUUUUUUUUUUCUUGAGACAGAGUCUCGCUCUGUCGCCAGGCUGGAGUGCAGUGGCGCGAUCUUGGCUCACUGCAACCUCUGCCUCCUGGGUUUAAGCGAUUCUCCUGCCUCAGCCUCUGGAGUAGCUGGGACUACUCGUGCAUGCCACCACGCCCGGCUAAUUUUUGUAUUUUUAGUAGAGACAGGGUUUCACCAUAUUGGCCAGGAUGGUCUCGAUCUCUUGACCUCGUGAUCCACCUGCCUCGGCCUCCCAAAUUGCUGGGAUUACAGCACUGUGCCCUCCUAGGAAAUUAUUUUUUAAGUGAAAUUUUAUUUUUAUUUUUUUUAGGAUUUUGGUAGAGAAUGAGUAGGCCUACUCAUCAAUAUCAAACAGGACAUUUAGUUUCUUUCCUUAGAACAGACAUAAAUUUAAUUUCAUGGUAAUAUGAUAAUAAGAAAAUGCUUCUAUUUUUCUUUAGCACCUCCAUGGUUCUCAUAUACCCAUGUCUGUAAAAAGUGACAUGAGAAUUUUGUUGGGUUACAUUUUAUUGUAUUUAUUAGAUUCGCUUAUAUAGAUGACUUAGGCAGAAAUAAAGUCAUGUCUUUAGAAGGUGAACAAGCCAACUUGUGAUGGCCUGCCUUUUGCUUUUGGCAGUUGGGAUGAGAACAAUUGACUCUCCCAUUGGUUGUUAGAUAGUUGAAAUGGUGCGUUGGUGGUCAUACUUAGUGUUCUAGGCUGUGAAAUCAUGGAGUUCUUCCACUUCCAAGAAUGACUCAUUUGCUGUUGGAUUCUAGUACAGAAUUUAGCAGCCUGAUGUGUCCCCAAACUGAUUUAAUUUCUACUGAAGUGCCCUUGUGUACAUUUGUUUUGUAAUUUACCAAAGUACUACCUGAGUGUAUAAUGACUCCUGCAGUGAGUUAAUGUAAUUGCUGCUUUGACCAUUGUUUUAAAUCUGUGUACUAGAGUAACUGUGAGCAGAAUGAAAUCACAUUAUCUCAGUGUUCAAAAUAUCAUUCUAAUAAAGUACAUGCAUUAAACAAUUUU